Molecule: long non-coding RNA, 2187 nt
Filed under: Gallus gallus (chicken)
Lineage: Eukaryota; Metazoa; Chordata; Aves; Galliformes; Phasianidae
Description: lncRNA (ENSGALG00010010144.1)
Source: RNAcentral
GGGGGCACUGGGAUGGACUGGGACUGGGGGCACUGGGAGCACUGGGAGCACUGGGAGGGACUGGGACAUACUGGGACUGGGGGCACUGGGAGCACUGGGAGGGACUGGGAGGGACUGGGGGUACUGGGGGAGACUGGGACAUACUGGGACUGGGGGUACUGGGGGCACUGGGCUGUACUGGGUUGUACUGGUCAUACUGGUGGCACUGGUGGUACUGGGAGCCCUGGUGGUACUGGUGGCACUGGUGGCACUGGGUUGUACUGGGCUGUACUGGUGGCACUGGUGGCACUGGGGAUACUGGUGGUGAUACUGGUGAUACUGGGAGCACUGGUGGCACUGGGAGCACUGGUUAUACUGGUGAUACUGGGAGCACUGGUGAUACUGGGAGCACUGGUGGUUCUGGUGCUGAUACUGGUGGUACUGGUGAUACUGGGAGCACUGGUGGCGCUGGGUUGUACUGGGUUGUACUGGUCAUACUGGUGGCACUGGUGGCACUGGGGAUACUGGAAGUACUGGUGAUACUGGUGGUGGUACUGGUGAUACUGGGAGCACUGGUGCUACUGGUUGCACUGGUGAUACUGGUCAUACUGGUGAUACUGGUGGUACUGGUGGCACUGGUGGCACUGGUGAUACUGGGUUGUACUGGUGAUACUGGUGGCACUGGUGGUACUGGGAGCCCUGAUGAUACUGGUGGCACUGGUGGUACUGGUUGUACUGGGAGCACUGGAGGCACUGGGUUGUACUGGUCAUACUGGUGAUACUGGUGGUACUGGGAGCUCUGGAGACACUGGGAGCACUGGUGAUACUGGUCAUACUGGUGAUACUGGUGGUACUGGUGGCACUGGGUUGUACUGGGUUGUACUGGUCAUCCUGGAGGUACUGGUGAUACUGGGAGCACUGGUGGUACUGGGAGCACUGGUCAUACUGGUGGUACUGGGCCGUACUGGGUUGUACUGGUCAUACUGGUGGUGGUACUGGUGAUACUGGGAGCACUGGUGAUACUGGUGGCACUGGGCUGUACUGGGUUGUACUGGUCAUACUGGUGGCACUGGUGAUACUGGGAGCACUGGGUUCCCUGGAGACACUGGGAGCACUGGUGAUACUGGUCAUACUGGUGGUACUGGUGGUACUGGGAGCACUGGAGACACUGGUGGCACUGGUGAUACUGGUGGUACUGGGAGCAGUGGGCUGUACUGGGUUGUACUGGUCAUACUGGUGGCACUGGUGGUACUGGGAGCCCUGGUGGUACUGGUGAUACUGGUGGCACUGGGUUGUACUGGGCUGUACUGGUGGCACUGGUGGCAAUGGGGAUACUGGUGGUGAUACUGGUGAUACUGGGAGCACUGGUGGCACUGGGAGCACUGGUGGUACUGGUGAUACUGGGAGCACUGGUGGUACUGGGAGCACUGGUGGUUCUGGUGCUGAUACUGGUGGUACUGGUGAUACUGGGAGCACUGGUGGCGCUGGGUUGUACUGGGUUGUACUGGUCAUACUGGAGGCACUGGUGGUACUGGGGAUACUGGGAGUACUGGUGAUACUGGUGGUGGUACUGGUGAUACUGGUGGCACUGGUGCUACUGGGUUGUACUGGGUUGUACUGGUCAUACUGGUGGUACUGGUGGCACUGGAUUGUACUGGGUUGUACUGGUCCUACUGGUGGCACUGGGGAUACUGGGAGCACUGGUGAUACUGGUGGUACUGGUGACACUGGGAGCACUGGUGGUACUGGGAGCACUGGUGAUACUGCUGACACUGGUGGCACUGGGUUGUACUGGUCAUACUGGUGAUACUGGUGGUACUGGGAGCUCUGGAGACACUGGGAGCACUGGUGAUAAUGGUCAUACUGGUGAUACUGGUGGUACUGGUGGCACUGGGCUGUACUGGGUUGUACUGGUGAUACUGGUGGCACUGGUGGCACUGGGCUGUACUGGGUUGUACUGGUCAUACUGGUGGCACUGGUGAUACUGGCGGUACUGGUGGCACUGGGCUGUAAUGGUGGUGUGCAGGACCCCUUCAGGCCCCGCCCCCUUCAGGCAACAUCCAAUCAGGCCACGCCCUCUCAAGCCACGCCCAUGACAGGCCCCGCCCCACUUUGCCGCAAUGUCCAAUCCGGCCCCGCCCCCCCGCGCGCUUUGGCCCCGCCCACUUUGAUUAACGCCCAAUCGCGCCCCGCCCCGAUUAUGCCCCG